CAAAGAUUAAGCCAUGCAUGUCUAAGUACAAACUAUAUUAAAGUGAAACCGCGAAAGGCUCAUUAAAUCAGUUAUGGUUCCUUAGAUCGUACCACAAUUACUUGGAUAACUGUGGUAAUUCUAGAGCUAAUACAUGCAAACAGAGCUCUGACCGGAGACGGAAGGAGUGCUUUUAUUAGAUCAAAACCAAUCGGCGGCAGUAGCAUUUCGGUGUUAUUGUUCGUCGCUCAAUAUAUGGUGAAUCUGAAUAACUUUAUGCUGAUCGCAUGGUCUUGUACCGGCGACGCAUCUUUCAAAUGUCUGCCUUAUCAACUGUCGAUGGUAGGAUCUGCGCCUACCAUGGUUGUAACGGGUAACGGGGAAUCAGGGUUCGAUUCCGGAGAGGGAGCCUGAGAAACGGCUACCACAUCCAAGGAAGGCAGCAGGCGCGCAAAUUACCCACUCCCGGCACGGGGAGGUAGUGACGAAAAAUAACGAUACGGGACUCAUCCGAGGCCCCGUAAUCGGAAUGAGUACACUUUAAAUCCUUUAACGAGGACCAAUUGGAGGGCAAGUCUGGUGCCAGCAGCCGCGGUAAUUCCAGCUCCAAUAGCGUAUAUUAAAGUUGUUGCGGUUAAAAAGCUCGUAGUUGAAUUUGUGUUCCGCACUGUCGGUUCACCGCCCGCGGUGCUAACUGGCAUGUUUGCGGAACGUCCUGCCGGUGGAUGUUCAGUAAGUGAUUUCGGUCAUUUACACAUCCGACUUAUAAAUCCUGUCGCGGUGCUCUUAACUGAGUGUCGAGGCGGGCCGGCACGUUUACUUUGAACAAAUUAGAGUGCUCAAAGCAGGCUAACUAAUGCCUGAAUAAUUAGUGCAUGGAAUAAUGAAACAGGACCUUGGUUCUAUUUUGUUGGUUUUCGGAACCCCAAGGUAAUGAUUAAUAGGGACAGAUGGGGGCAUUCGUAUUGCGACGUUAGAGGUGAAAUUCUUGGAUCGUCGCAAGACGG
This 986-nucleotide ribosomal RNA is filed under the name Cenogmus sp. NLG-2014. RNAcentral's name for it is "SSU rRNA". It matches the Rfam family "Eukaryotic small subunit ribosomal RNA", at positions 38 to 938 of the family's 1831-position model. The record is from RNAcentral. Lineage: Eukaryota; Metazoa; Arthropoda; Insecta; Coleoptera; Carabidae.